UGGGGAAUAUUGGACAAUGGGCGAAAGCCUGAUCCAGCCAUGCCGCGUGAGUGACGAAGGCCUUAGGGUUGUAAAACUCUUUCGUCGGGGACGAUAAUGACGGUACCCGAAGAAGAAGCUCCGGCUAACUUCGUGCCAGCAGCCGCGGUAAUACGAAGGGAGCUAGCGUUGUUCGGAUUUACUGGGCGUAAAGGGCGCGUAGGCGGCAAUUCAAGUCAUCUGUGAAAUCUCCGGGCUUAACUCGGAACGGUCAGAUGAUACUGCUUUGCUAGAGUGCAGAAGGGGCAAUCGGAAUUCUUGGUGUAGCGGUGAAAUGCGUAGAUAUCAAGAGGAACACCUGAGGUGAAGACGGGUUGCUGGGCUGACACUGACGCUGAGGCGCGAAAGCCAGGGGAGCAAACGGGAUUAGAUACCCACGUAGUCCCUGAGCGGGCUGGCAAGGCGCAU
RNAcentral lists this ribosomal RNA (447 nucleotides) under uncultured bacterium. RNAcentral describes it as "bacterial SSU rRNA". It matches the Rfam family "Bacterial small subunit ribosomal RNA", at positions 355 to 825 of the family's 1533-position model. The record is from RNAcentral.